Sus scrofa (pig) is the source of this 47-nucleotide non-coding RNA. The record is from Rfam. Lineage: Eukaryota; Metazoa; Chordata; Mammalia; Artiodactyla; Suidae.
CCAAAGGCUCUUUUCAGAGCCCCUCAAUUCUCACCAAAAAGGAGCUG